RNAcentral lists this transfer RNA (69 nucleotides) under Leontocebus fuscicollis weddelli. RNAcentral's name for it is "tRNA-Asp". Lineage: Eukaryota; Metazoa; Chordata; Mammalia; Primates; Cebidae. The record is from RNAcentral.
AAGAUAUUAGUAAAAUAAUUACAUGACUUUGUCAAAGUCAAAUCAUAGACUAAAUAUCUAUAUAUCUUA